GGGAGCUCUCCCGGUGCUGUCUGCUGCCGACACGGAGGGAAACCCAGCCUGGCUAAUUGACCCGGCUUCUGUAAGGCCAUCCAUCAACCGUGGCCCGAGUGGCCCCGUAAGAAACACAUUAUUCAGAGUGAUCCUGUGCCCUGAUCAGACAACCUUCGUGUCCACAUCGUCUCUCACUGUGUGUGUCAGCUCAGGAUUAAGAGAACGAGGGAGAGGAGAGAGGAAGGCAACAGAAAAAUUGAAGGAGGGAAGUGUACAUAAGCGAUUGAGAGAGGGAGAGUGCGAGCAUUGGAGAGUGAGAGAGGGAGAGAGAGCAGCGCUGCAGUAGCAUCCCACAGCAGACGGCUGAGGACUGCCGAUGUGUGUGUGACUGCACUGCUGAAGAGGAGGAGGAGGAGGAGGCAGAGGGUGAGCACGCUCGCAGACUCUGCAGGGCCAUAGAGGAGCACAGAGCAGCAGUGGCAGCGCUAGUGUUGGCCGGCACCAGGUAGAAGUCCCAGCGCUGUCGCCCCGCAGACCACCGCCGUAGGAUCUGGACACGCCAACGCCACCGAGACCCCCACCACCCACACCAUGGCACAAGCUGCCAAACAUCUCCGCAAGAACAAGGAUUUAGAAGCCCAGCUAGAGGCGGAACGCAAAGAGAAGGAGGAGGAGAGGGUCAAAAAGAGGAGUCGCUCACGGGAUAAAAAGCGCAAGGCCCACGCCGUGCAUCGCUGGCUAAUCGAUCAGGACAGUAGUGUGAGCUCUGAGAUGCCGGAUGGCCAAGGAGUAUGGCACUAUGAUGAUGAAG
This is a long non-coding RNA of Epinephelus moara (kelp grouper), 793 nucleotides long. RefSeq lists it as uncharacterized. The record is from RefSeq and is a predicted model, not a curated record. Lineage: Eukaryota; Metazoa; Chordata; Actinopteri; Perciformes; Serranidae. The transcript has 4 exons.